AGCAGUCAGCCCCACCCGCGCAGACCCAGGAAAGGGUCCCACCUCAUUGGCCCUAUUCAGACCCAGGCCCCGCCCCAUGGGUGGCACCGCCUGCAGACCCCGCCCAGGGGCUCUAUAGUUCCGCCCUUCAGGCAGGAGGACUCCUCACCUUGUGAGAGGCCAUCUCGCUCACGGAGCGGUAGGUCUGCAUGGUCUCCAGCUGCUCCAGGCACCAGUCCAGCUCCUCCAGCGUCUCCCGGGCCAGUUGUUGACAUGUCUCUUCUGGAGAAGGGGCAGCAUGGGUGGUGACCCAGAGGCCCCAACCCGAGCUGAUGGGGGUCCACCAAGUGAGUGGGGUGCUGGGAAAGGAGAGGGAACUGCUGCCUGAACAGAGGCUCAGAGAGAUCAAGUUCCUGCCUGAGGGCACACAGCAGAGCUAAGAGACGAACCCAGUCCAGGCCCCUGCUCAAUGUUGUCUCCCCAGGAAGCCUCACCUGACCAACCCAUCCAAGAUUUGAAUCUCUGCCUUACUAUGUCAUAUUUACCUUCCUUUAAAAAAAUAAAAUACUACUGACCUGA
Long non-coding RNA from Suricata suricatta (meerkat), 558 nucleotides. RefSeq lists it as uncharacterized. The record is from RefSeq and is a predicted model, not a curated record. Lineage: Eukaryota; Metazoa; Chordata; Mammalia; Carnivora; Herpestidae. The transcript is spliced from 3 exons.